GUAAAUUGAAAAAGAGAGAUAGAACGAGGAAAAGAGUGAGAUUGAGGGAGAAAAGGAGAGAGGGAUUGUAUGUUUGUAUGUUUCUCUCCGCUUGUCAUACUUUCU
This 105-nucleotide non-coding RNA is filed under the name uncultured Geminigera. Lineage: Eukaryota; Cryptophyceae; Pyrenomonadales; Geminigeraceae. The record is from RNAcentral.